This 578-nucleotide unclassified non-coding RNA is filed under the name Hevea brasiliensis (rubber tree). Lineage: Eukaryota; Viridiplantae; Streptophyta; Magnoliopsida; Malpighiales; Euphorbiaceae. The record is from RNAcentral.
AACUAAAAUAUACAGAUUUUGGAUAUUUAUAGAGUUUCUAACUCUCCUAAACUAACUAGGAGUAUAUGCCUAACAUUUAGGAAUUUUAGCUAAACUAAAUACAAUUGGAAAUCUAGAUAAGGUAGGAAAACUUAAGUUUUCGAUAAAGUAGGAAAUUUAAAUAACUAAUCCUUAAUUGAAUAGGGAAAAAACAAAUCCUAAAUAGGGUUGGAAAUUUCCUAAAUUAUUCCAAAUGGAAUUCUGCUGCUGUUACUUGAUAAAACAGGAAGUACAAGUUGAAUUGGGACUACUGGGGACAAAAUCAAUCAAACAAAAUGGUAAGCGUCACUGCUGUCCAGAGAAUCCCUCACCCUGGGUGUGGGAUUGGGCAGUGUUUCACACCCAGGACGUGAAACACUCUACUGAUUUCUGUUUUGCCCACACUUGUUGCUUUUCCCCUGUUCUCAUUCUAGCUUUCUUCCUUUGUCUUUUGACUUGCUUCUUUGCUCAAAAUGCCUUGCAUCAUAUGCCGCGGGGUUCUUUGAAUUCACUGUCAUAGCAUUUUCUAUAGAUUAUAUGAGCAUAUUUAAUCCAUGAGA